RNAcentral lists this ribosomal RNA (253 nucleotides) under uncultured archaeon. RNAcentral's name for it is "partial 16S ribosomal RNA". It matches the Rfam family "Bacterial small subunit ribosomal RNA", at positions 524 to 776 of the family's 1533-position model. The record is from RNAcentral.
UACAUAGGGGCCAAGCGUUGUCCGGAUUUAUUGGGCGUAAAGCAUCCGUAGCCUGUUCUAUAAGUUUCCGGUUUAAUCCAUACGCUCAACGUAUGGGCUGCCGGAAAUACUGCAGAACUAGGGAGUGGGAGAGGUAGACGGUACUCGAUAGGAAGAGGUAAAAUUCUUUGAUCUAUUGAUGACCACCUGUGGCGAAGGCGGUCUACCAGAACACGUUCGACGGUGAGGGAUGAAAGCUGGGGGAGCAAACCGG